Molecule: long non-coding RNA, 874 nt
Organism: Magallana angulata
Lineage: Eukaryota; Metazoa; Mollusca; Bivalvia; Ostreida; Ostreidae
Exons: 2
Source: RefSeq, a predicted model, not a curated record
UAUGAUACAUUGUAUGCAUAUAGAUCUCAGUAAUUUGGGAUGAAAAAUAGUUAAUAUAUGUUAUUGAUAUAAAAAGUUUUAAACUGUCAAACAUUGGCCCAACGUUGGUUCGUUGUUAGAUUUUAAACCCGACAAUGAAUUUUUUUAUUUUUAGAGAAAUUUAGUGGAGGAUUGUAAAUUGUAUUGGGCUUAGUUAUUUAAAACUGUUGGGUCAUAGAUAUUGGCCAUUGUUGCUCUGUUGAGGGAUGUUUAUUGUUUAUAUAAAUCUGAUGAGCUGUAUGUACAUGUGUAGCUGGAGCGCCUAUUGCAUAACGAAUCUUAAAGUGUCGAAAUUAAGAGGCAGACGGAGCUCCUUUACUGCCCAAGUAUCUGGGUCAGUGCUUCUCACAGCAUGGGUCUGGCCAGUUUCCUUGGAGAUCGGUCAUCUGAUAUAACCAGGAUGGUCAAAACUGCCACUUUUUAUUUCAAAUAUAUUGCAACCGUUGUGCGUGUACACCUAUAGUAAAUAGUGUUUUUUCUACUGUACAAAUUAUACAUUAGAAGAUUUGGGAUAUAUAUGCUACAAAAACCGCAGUAAGAAAAAAACAGACUGUGUGCCUCUGCAACAGAUGUAGAGAUAGGGAAUUAGGACAGCUAGGUUCCGUUUUUCAAAGACCGUGAAGGUGAAGGGAAAAAAGGGAAGAAAGAAAAAAAGCAAGGAGGUAACCCAAGCCACUGAAGCCAGUGACCCGGACAGUGAUCAGACCCUACAGUUCGAUUGUUACUAAGGAAUUUACAUAGACAAAGAAAUAUGCUAGCGAUUCUUUUUAAUUCUAAAAAGUGUUUAAAUGUAUUGUAAAUUUUUACUAAGAAAGAAUAAAAUCUGUAUACUAUG